AGCUUCAGUAGCGUAUAUUAAAGUUGUUGCAGUUAAAAAGCUCGUAGUCGCAUUUCUGGCGAGAGGAUCCGGUCCGACCUUCUGGUGGGUUCUUGGGUCUCUUUCGCCAUCCUUGAGUGGUCCGUUCUGGCAUUAGGUUGUCGGAGCGUCAGCCGCUCAUCGUUUACUGUGAGAAAAUUAGAGUGUUCAAAGCAGGCUUAUGCCGUUUAAUAUAUUAGCAUGGAAUAAUAAGAUAGGACCUCGGUACUAUUUUGUUGGUUUGCGCACCAAGGUAAUGAUGAACAGGGACAGUUGGGGGUAUUUGUAUUUCGUUGUCAGAGGUGAAAUUCUUAGAUUUACGAAAGACAAACUACUGCGAAAGCAUUUACCAAGGAUGUUUUCA
Molecule: ribosomal RNA, 382 nt
Filed under: uncultured marine Chaetocerotaceae
Lineage: Eukaryota; Bacillariophyta; Thalassiosirophyceae; Chaetocerotales; Chaetocerotaceae
Description: SSU rRNA
Rfam family: Eukaryotic small subunit ribosomal RNA
Source: RNAcentral